GACGAACGCUGGCGGCGUGCUUAACACAUGCAAGUCGAACGAAGAGCGAUGGACGCUUGCUUCUAUCAAUCUUAGUGGCGCACGGGUGAGUAACGCGUAAUCAACCUGCCCUUCAGAGGGGGACAACAGUUGGAAACGACUGCUAAUACCGCAUACGAUCUGACCUCGGCAUCGAGGAUAGAUGAAAGGUGGCCUCUACAUGUAAGCUAUCACUGAAGGAGGGGAUUGCGUCUGAUUAGCUAGUUGGAGGGGUAACGGCCCACCAAGGCGAUGAUCAGUAGCCGGUCUGGGAGGAUGAACGGCCACAUUGGGACUUAGACACGGCCCAGACUCCUACGGGAGGCAGCAGGGGGGAAUCUUCCGCAAUGGACGAAAGGCUGACGGAGCAACGCCGCGUGAGUGAUGACGGCCUUCGGGUUGUAAAGCUCUGUUAAUCGGGACGAAAGGCCUUUUUGCGAAUAGGGAGAAGGAUUGACGGUACCGGAAUAGAAAGCCACGGCUAACUACGUG
This 510-nucleotide ribosomal RNA is filed under the name uncultured bacterium. RNAcentral's name for it is "partial 16S ribosomal RNA". It matches the Rfam family "Bacterial small subunit ribosomal RNA", at positions 28 to 507 of the family's 1533-position model. The record is from RNAcentral.